AGGAUGAACGCUGGCGGCGUGCUUAACACAUGCAAGUCGAACGAUGAAGGCUGGAGCUUGCUCUGGCUGGAUUAGUGGCGAACGGGUGAGUAACACGUGAGUAACCUCGCCCCAGACUCUGGGAUAAGCGCUGGAAACGGCGUCUAAGUACCGGAUACGAGCUUCCACCGCAUGGUGAGGAGCUUAGGAAAGUAUUUCGGUCUGGGAU
RNAcentral lists this ribosomal RNA (208 nucleotides) under uncultured soil bacterium. RNAcentral's name for it is "partial 16S ribosomal RNA". It matches the Rfam family "Bacterial small subunit ribosomal RNA", at positions 26 to 226 of the family's 1533-position model. The record is from RNAcentral.